This 389-nucleotide long non-coding RNA is filed under the name Panax ginseng (ginseng). RNAcentral's name for it is "long non-coding RNA (PGIN_LNC013404)". The record is from RNAcentral. Lineage: Eukaryota; Viridiplantae; Streptophyta; Magnoliopsida; Apiales; Araliaceae.
AGUAAGCCCCGCGGUCUGUCUAUCUUUUUCUCGUAACCCCUAAUAUAUAUAUAAAAUGCCAAACACCAAACCAAUGUAAAAAGUAAAGCAGCCAACUUUCCGGUAGCCAUAGAAAAUAAACCCUCGCAAUCUCUUUCUCUCCUAUCUCCUACACAUUCUCAUCCCAUACCUCUCUAACCACACAACUCUUAUUUUCCAUAGAUAAUCUCGUGUCCUAACUCUCACUAUCCAAAAUCUUUAUAUCUUUUCCCUUUUAGAUUUUGUCCCUCUUUUUCUGUCCUUAUCUCCUCCAACCUUCAGUCCUUCAUUCCUUUUCUCCACACCGCAUAAGCCUAAUCUUCCUUUUCUUUAUUCAUUCCUUUUAAAAUGUUAUAGCCCCUAGUCCAAAC